Molecule: ribosomal RNA, 253 nt
Filed under: uncultured bacterium
Lineage: Bacteria
Description: partial 16S ribosomal RNA
Rfam family: Bacterial small subunit ribosomal RNA
Source: RNAcentral
GACGGAGGAUGCAAGCGUUAUCCGGAAUUAUUGGGCGUAAAGCGUCCGCAGGUGGACAUACAAGUCUGCUGUCAAAGUGCAGAGCUUAACUCUGUAAAGGCGGUGGAAACUGUAGGUCUUGAGUAUGGUAGGGGUAGAGGGAAUUCCCGGUGUAGCGGUGAAAUGCGUAGAUAUCGGGAAGAACACCAGUGGCGAAAGCGCUCUACUGGGCCAUAACUGACACUGAGGGACGAAAGCUAGGAGAGCGAAAGGG